This 216-nucleotide ribosomal RNA is filed under the name Glomeromycotina sp. RNAcentral's name for it is "partial small subunit ribosomal RNA". The stretch from base 40 to 216 matches the Rfam family "Eukaryotic small subunit ribosomal RNA", at positions 686 to 864 of the family's 1831-position model. The record is from RNAcentral. Lineage: Eukaryota; Fungi; Glomeromycota.
GGGUCAGUAGGUUGGUCGUGCCACCGGUACGUACUGGUCUCACUGAUUCCUCCUUCCUGAAGAACCGUAAUGCCAUUAAUUUGGUGUUGCGGGAAAACAGGACUGUUACUUUGAAAAAAUUAGAGUGUUUAAAGCAAGCUAACGCUUGAAUACAUUAGCAUGGAAUAAUGAAAUAGGACGAUCGAUCCUAUUUUAUUGGUUUCUAGGAUUGACGUA